This is an RNA transcript of Salvelinus namaycush (lake trout), 2487 nucleotides long. It is a transcript of the gene named feline leukemia virus subgroup C receptor-related protein 2-like, with no coding region annotated. The transcript has 11 exons. Lineage: Eukaryota; Metazoa; Chordata; Actinopteri; Salmoniformes; Salmonidae. The record is from RefSeq and is a predicted model, not a curated record.
GUGGGGGUCACUGGUUGGUACCACGUGGUGACGUAAAACCGGCGUUUACAUUGGACAUUUGAUACUUCGCGCGUCAUACAUUAUGUUAGGGCUAAAUAGUUUUGUAUAUUGAGUUCAAACUGCUUGUGAAAGUAGGCUACUGUUUUGUCAACUCCAACACACUAGGAAGUGAAGGAAGUGAGGCUAACUUGUAAUGUAGCUAGGCUUGACUGGGGUGUCUUAAAAUCCUUUGCACGAACGUCGAAUAAUUUCCUGGUUUCUCUAACUAACUUCAUUUUUAUCUCAUGGAAUGUAUUUUCUUUAAAGGACUAUGUACUAACGUGGCAUAAUAAAUAGAAGCUUGGCUUAAAUGUACCAAAACGAUAGUUUGAAACUAUCUUGGAGCUGUCAUAGAUAACGUUAGUCGGGCUACUCUGAACUCGCACUAAAAUGUAACAGAAAUACGUGUCUGUAUUGUAUUCACCAGCACGUCGUUGAAUAAACGUAAGCUACAAUAUGAGCAACGGAAAACUCUCCUUGGUUGAUGGCGAAAUCAACGACAAUGAAAAUGUGUCGGAUUUGGAAAAAAAUAAAAUUUUGUCUGCCGGAGACAGCGAGGAGAUGCGCCUGGAGAACAAUAUACAACUCAACCGGAACGGCGACGAUACAACCCAAACCAUCAAACUAUACAAACGACGAUGGCUCAUCGUGUUGCUGUUCAGCUCGUAUUCUCUCUGUAACUCGUUCCAAUGGAUCCAGUACGGAAUUAUCAACAACAUUUUCAUGAGGUUCUACGGGGUCGAGUCUUUCACCAUAGAUUGGAUGUCUAUGAUAUACAUGUUGACUUACAUUCCCUUCAUAUUCCCGGUCACCUGGCUACUGGAUAAGAAGGGUCUCCGUAUUAUUGCGCUGGUGGCUACGGCCAUGAAUUGUGCGGGGACUUGGAUCAAGGUGACAAGCGUGAGACCUGAUCUGUUUGCGGUGACCAUGCUCGGACAGUUCUGUUGCUCCCUUGCGCAGGUAUUUAUCCUCGGGAUGCCGUCGAAGAUCGCCUCGGUGUGGUUCGGAUCGGAGGAAGUGUCCACCGCUUGCUCCAUCGGGGUCUUCGGAAACCAGUUGGGUAUAGCCAUUGGGUUCCUGGUCCCUCCCAUCCUGGUGCCUAACGUGGAGGACAUGGAUCAGCUGGCCUAUCACAUCAGUAUCAUGUUCUACAUCACAGCAGGAGUUGCUACGCUGCUCUUCAUACUGGUCGUCAUAGUGUUCCAGGAGCGUCCGGAGCUCCCUCCCACCCAGGCCCAGGCGACAGCUCGCUGCAUCCCUCCAGAACAGUACUCCUACACCGCCUCCAUCCUCAGGCUGCUCCGAAACAAACCCUUCCUCCUCCUCAUCCUCACAUACGGACUGAACGUGGGCUGUUUCUAUGCUGUUGGCACACUACUGAACCGCAUGAUCAUCGCACACUACCCUGGUGAAGAGUUGAAUGCAGGGAGGAUAGGCCUCACCAUCGUUAUCGCUGGCAUGGUGGGGUCGCUGAUCUGUGGUAUCUGGCUGGACAGAACCAAAACAUACAAACAGACUACCCUGGCGGUCUACCUCAUGUCCUUCGUAGGGAUGUUGGUCUACGCCUUCACCCUCAGUCUGGGUCAUCUCUGGGUAGUCUUCCUCACCGCUGGAGCUCUGGGGUUCUUCAUGACAGGCUAUCUUCCCCUGGGCUUUGAGUUUGGUGUGGAGCUAACCUACCCCGAGUGUGAAGGCACCUCUUCAGGCCUGCUCAACUGCUCUGCACAGGUGUUUGGUAUCAUCUUCACUAUCUGCCAGGGGAAGAUUAUAGAUAACUACGGGACGCUGGCAGGAAACAUCUUCCUCUGUGUCUUCCUCUUCAUCGGAUCGGUCCUCACAGGCUUCAUCAAGUCAGACCUGCAGAGACAGAAGGCUAACCAGUUGGCCAAGGCAGCUGCGGACGGACUGCUCUCUGGACAACAGCAGGGCUACGGGGCCACGGCUCUAAUCAAGAGACCGGACAGCCCUUCUGAUUCUUCUCAGGCUUGAUCACUAACCCCCCCUUAACCCUUACACUCUUAGCUCGAACUUCAGACGAGCCAAGGUCCCUUCAGAUCCCGAGGAUAGGAACGUCCCUGCCUCCGCAGUCCUCGAAGAAACCAGGUUUUAGAGACGGACGGUCUGCUGGACACCAGCAUCUCCCACCCUGUGGAAUGUGAAGUUUAGGGGAGGAGCACAAUCAGGAAGUGUUUACGACCACUUCCCUUUAACACUGUCCAAAAAGACAUCCAAUAUUUACGCAACAACAAAUAUUAUUUCUGUAUAAUUUCUAGAUGUGCCAUAUCUAAUCUACAAAAUGUUUACUGUCCAAAAUUAGCACAAAUAAUACUGUCGUUUUACAGUAUACACUGUUGCAUGACAUAGACUGACCAGGUGAAAGCUAUGAUCCCUUAUUUACGUCACUUGUUAAAUCCACUUCAAUCAGUGUAGAUGAAGGGGAAGAGACAG